RNAcentral lists this ribosomal RNA (495 nucleotides) under uncultured bacterium. RNAcentral's name for it is "partial 16S ribosomal RNA". It matches the Rfam family "Bacterial small subunit ribosomal RNA", at positions 28 to 507 of the family's 1533-position model. The record is from RNAcentral.
GACGAACGCUGGCGGCGUGCCUAAUACAUGCAAGUAGAACGCUGAAGGAGGAGCUUGCUCUUCUGGAUGAGUUGCGAACGGGUGAGUAACGCGUAGGUAACCUGCCUGGUAGCGGGGGAUAACUAUUGGAAACGAUAGCUAAUACCGCAUAAGAGUAGAUGUUGCAUGACAUUUACUUAAAAGGUGCAAUUGCAUCACUACCAGAUGGACCUGCGUUGUAUUAGCUAGUUGGUGGGGUAACGGCUUACCAAGGCGACGAUACAUAGCCGACCUGAGAGGGUGAUCGGCCACACUGGGACUGAGACACGGCCCAGACUCCUACGGGAGGCAGCAGUAGGGAAUCUUCGGCAAUGGACGGAAGUCUGACCGAGCAACGCCGCGUGAGUGAAGAAGGGUUUCGGAUCGUAAAGCUCUGUUGUAAGUGAAGAACGAGUGUGAGAGUGGAAAGUUCACACUGUGACGGUAUCUGACCAGAAAGGGACGGCUAACUACGUG